This 347-nucleotide unclassified non-coding RNA is filed under the name soil metagenome. RNAcentral describes it as "partial contains 5.8S ribosomal RNA, internal transcribed spacer 2, and large subunit ribosomal RNA". The stretch from base 1 to 121 matches the Rfam family "5.8S ribosomal RNA", at positions 35 to 154 of the family's 154-position model. The record is from RNAcentral.
GAUGAAGAACGUAGCGAAAUGCGAUAAGUAAUGCGAAUUGCAGAAUUUCCGUGAGUCAUCGAAUCUUUGAACGCACAUUGCGCCCAUUGGCAUUCCGAUGGGCAUGCCUGUUCGAGCGUCAUUAUCCUCCCUCAAACCCCUGGGUUUGGUGUUGGACUGUGUGGUGCCUGGCACCACUGGUCUCAAAGACAAUGACGGCGUCCGUGGGACCCUCGGUGCAACGAGCUUUUCGAAGCACGCGUCGAGUGGACAGUCUCUCCGGGCCGGUCACCUCUCCAAUUUUUCUCAGGUUGACCUCGGAUCAGGUAGGAAUACCCGCUGAACUUAAGCAUAUCAAUAACGGAGGA